UUGGGGCCUUUAAAAGGGUGUCCAUGAAACCUUCAAGGCAGAAGGAAGGGAAUGAGAAUAGCAGGCCAAUGCUUAGAGGAAGGGGUGAGUAAGCCCACUAUUCUAGGAACAAAUUUGGAACAAUCCCAUGUGGGUGUGUUCAGCUUGUUAGAAUAUUUUAUUCUUUAUGUUACCUUUAUUAUUUAUAUAAUUAUUGGAUUUAUAUAUUGUAUUAAUUUAAUCACUUCAUUUAUGGGUUUAAUAAUUAAUUAUUUGGCCUAUAAAUAAUAUUCCUAAUAGUUUUUGGCAUAAUGGGCCCUAAGGUUUUAUAAUUUUGAUGGACGAUUUUGACCCUUAGCUAUUCUAUAAAUAAAACAGUUAGAAUUUGGUCUCAAUUGUCAUCUCAAGAACUUUAUACACACCUACACAUCCAUCAUAAGAUUGAGAGAGACAAUUGAAGAUUUUCAUCCUUAAACGCAGCGGAAGCGUGAUACGUACAAGAUGAUUUCUCUCAAUUCAUGUAAGUACUUAAUAUUAUGAUUAAUUGAUUUUAUUUAUUCUAUGCAAUAGCACCUUCCAAUAUAAUUUAUUUAACAUCUUGUAUCAAAGCCAUGAUUACGUUAUUGUAUAAAGUAAAUUAUUUAUGUUAUUAUGUUAUAAACUUUAAUGUCGUAGAAUAAUUAAAUCAUGUUAUUUUCGGAGA
Molecule: long non-coding RNA, 682 nt
Filed under: Panax ginseng (ginseng)
Lineage: Eukaryota; Viridiplantae; Streptophyta; Magnoliopsida; Apiales; Araliaceae
Description: long non-coding RNA (PGIN_LNC006045)
Source: RNAcentral